Molecule: ribosomal RNA, 373 nt
Filed under: uncultured bacterium
Lineage: Bacteria
Description: bacterial SSU rRNA
Rfam family: Bacterial small subunit ribosomal RNA
Source: RNAcentral
GAACCACACAAACGUUAUUCGGAAUUACUGGGCUUAAAGGGUGCGUAGGCUGUGCGGAAAGUUGGGUGUGAAAGCCCCCGGCUCAACCGGGGAAUUGCGCCCAAAACUACCGUGCUUGAGAAAGACAGAGGUGAGCGGAACUGAGGGUGGAGCGGUGAAAUGCGUUGAUAUCCUCAGGAACACCGGUGGCGAAAGCGGCUCACUGGGUCUUUUCUGACGCUGAUGCACGAAAGCUAGGGGAGCAAACGGGAUUAGAUACCCCGGUAGUCCUAGCCGUAAACGAUGAGCACUGGGUUGAAGGGACCCCCAUAUCCUUUCAGCCGCAGCAAAAGUGUUAAGUGCUCCGCCUGGGGAGUAUGGUCGCAAGGCUGAA